Molecule: non-coding RNA, 73 nt
Organism: Cricetulus griseus (Chinese hamster)
Lineage: Eukaryota; Metazoa; Chordata; Mammalia; Rodentia; Cricetidae
Source: Rfam
GCCUGGACAGUUCAGCUGGUAGAGCAUCAGACUUUUAAUCUGAGGGUCCAGGGUUCAAGUCCCUGUUCAGCUG